Molecule: ribosomal RNA, 493 nt
Filed under: uncultured bacterium
Lineage: Bacteria
Description: partial 16S ribosomal RNA
Rfam family: Bacterial small subunit ribosomal RNA
Source: RNAcentral
GAUGAACGCUGGCGGCGUGCCUAACACAUGCAAGUCGAACGAAGCACCUUACCGGAUCUUUGGGAGGAAGGCCGGGGGCCUGAUUGGCGGACGGGGGAGUAAGGGGGGGUUACCCUGCCCGGAAAGGGGGGAUAACAGUGGGAAACGGGUGUAAUAACAGCAUAGGGGCAGGAGAGGAAUUCUCUUGGGGUGAAAAAUUCCGGUGUAACAGGUUGGGCCGGCGUCUGUUUAGUUGGUGGGCAGGGUAACGGCGUACCAAGGCAACGAUCAGUAGCCGGUCUGAGAGGAUGAACGGCCACAUUGGAACUGAGACACGGUCCAAACUCCUACGGGAGGCAGCAGUGGAGAAUAUUGCACAAUGGGGGAAACCCUGAUGCAGCAACGCCGCGUGAGUGAAGAAGUAUUUCGGUAUGUAAAGCUCUAUCAGCAGGGAAGAUAAUGACGGUACCUGACUAAGAAGCUCCGGCUAAAUACGUGCCAGCCGCCGCGGUAA